GGAAGCUCAGCAGGAGGGGCUUCAGGGAGGGAAGCGUGAGCCUAAAUGUAGCUAGAUGUCACUCAACAUAAUCACACCUUGGAGUUUGCUGUAGUGCAGGGCCGGUGUUAUCUGCAGAUGAGCAUUCGAAGCCUGGAAACCUUUUAGAGGUGGAAAAGCUAUGCAGACGUAACAGAUGUCUGAACAUCAGCACGGGAAGCUGGAGAGAGGGAGGGAGACCGAACAAAAGCCAUUUAAUCAGCAUUUGAAUAAAAAGAAGAGUGAACAGAGUACUCUCGUUUUUUUAUUUUUUUCUUUCUAACAAAUAUUAUUUUUUCUAUACCAGUGUCAGAAAUUAACUUCUAUAUACAGUAUAUAUAUUUAUAAACAGAGUGGGAUGUUCAUUUAUCUCAAAAACUAAUUAAAUUGUAACUGAAAUUCUAACUAUAGUGUCUGAACCCAUA
Cyprinus carpio carpio is the source of this 443-nucleotide long non-coding RNA. NCBI's taxonomy places the organism in Eukaryota, Metazoa, Chordata, Actinopteri, Cypriniformes, Cyprinidae. The record is from Ensembl.